GUGACAGAAGAGAGUGAGCACACAUCAACUUCUUGCAUCUCAAUGCUUGAACUUAUGCGUGCUCACCCUCUAUCUGUCAC
Molecule: microRNA precursor, 80 nt
Filed under: Daucus carota subsp. sativus
Lineage: Eukaryota; Viridiplantae; Streptophyta; Magnoliopsida; Apiales; Apiaceae
Description: sRNA DCAR_mi00034
Rfam family: mir-156 microRNA precursor family
About the family: This family represents the plant microRNA (miRNA) precursor mir-156.
Source: Rfam by way of RNAcentral